This is a long non-coding RNA of Mastomys coucha (southern multimammate mouse), 1172 nucleotides long. RefSeq lists it as uncharacterized. Lineage: Eukaryota; Metazoa; Chordata; Mammalia; Rodentia; Muridae. The transcript is spliced from 3 exons. The record is from RefSeq and is a predicted model, not a curated record.
GAGAGACCAACGUUUCUGUGGAUGUGAAUUUCGAGUAAGAUGGCGGCGCCUAGAUCCCUCAGUCGGAUGCACGCUCUCCUUGGCCAGAGACAACCCCGAGUCUCAUCAAAACCAGCAAUUUGGAGGAGCUUCUCAUUGAAUCUGAAGUUUGCUGAUCUACCUAGACUGUCUAGCCAGCAAGUCCCAGGGACCCUCCAGGGGUUCUGAAUUCAGGUCCUUGUGUUUGUGCGCAAUAUCUUGAAGACAGUGUCAGUCUUGAAGAAACUCCAGGAAGAUCACAGGAAGCAAUACUUCUCAACUUAAUUUUUAAGGAAGGAGAACAUCAUCCUCUUAGUAAGAUGAGAAAAUUGAAAUGAAGCCACAAUUACACAUGAGUCCACACUUGUGAGCACAGAUACAAAAGUUCUAAACAAAAAUCUCAGCAGCGAUGAGUUCAAAGGCUAACUGACCCAUGAAGAUCAGAUUCCACCUUAGAAGUUCAGGCUUGGUGACCUGAAUUCAACUCUGGGACCCACAAGGCUGGAGGAAGAAAAUCAGUUCCACUUGCAACAUGUCCUCUGAUCUUUACAAGUGCCUCCAUCACAAAUAGCAUGUGUGCACUACACCCCCCCACACACACACACACCAAACUAAUAGGUAACGGGACGGGAUUUGGAAAAUGAUGUAGAAAUAUUGCUAGAGGGACUGCAGAGUUAGCUCAGCAGUGAAGAGCAUGGUAGCUCACACCUGUAACCCCAACCGCAGGGGAUUUGAUAGCCCUUCCUGACUUCCCAAGGCACCAGGCAUGCAUGGGAUGCAUCGACAUGUGUGCAGGCAAAACAUUCACACACAUAAAACAAUAAAAUAAAUCUUAAAAUAUACGGCUGAGGAUGUAACUCCCAGUUGGGAGAGAGCACCACAAAACUGGACAUGGUGGUACACAUCUGUAAUCAACCUUAGCAGUCAGGAGGUGGAGGCAGGAGGAUCAGAAUGUAUGGGAGAUGGGGUCUCAUGGAGCCCAGGCUAGUCUCCAACCUGCUAAGUAGUCCAAGCUACCCCUUGAUCCUGGUCCUCCAGCUCAUCACCCUUCUGAAUGCUGGUUUAAGGUCUGGUUUCAUUUUUAUUUGUCUCUCCCCCACCAUACCACACCACACACACGAUGCCACACACACACACACACAGCCCCCCACAUA